Molecule: non-coding RNA, 479 nt
Organism: Paramuricea clavata
Lineage: Eukaryota; Metazoa; Cnidaria; Anthozoa; Malacalcyonacea; Plexauridae
Source: the annotation of a GenBank genome assembly
GUAUCAGCUCACUUCAACUGAUGGACAGUGUCGGAAUAUAAAACAACAUAUUUGCAUUCUAUUUAAUACCUAAUGGUAUAUAAAUUGCAUACAGUACAACAAGAAUAGUAAAUAUAUUCAUGUAUAAAAGUCAUUAUUGGAAAUCCACGACGACCUUCAUCGAGGUUCAAAUGUCAAUAAAUUUUUAUAAACACUUUGAUAGGACACUUCAGGCGAACUAGCAGCUAAACUGAACCUGACAAUCUCACAUGUAGUACAUCCAAAAUAUUUCUCCCAUUAAAUUGGCCCAAAACAUUAAUGUUUUUCUUGUUCGCAUUUACUCGACUAUAUUCAUAUAUAAAUCAGCAUCAAACCAUCAACAAAGUUUUGCAAAUUUGCUGACCUCAGUUAUAAACGCAGACCUCCUACUUAUGCCCCGUUUACACUACGCUCAAUUUUUGGUACGGCACGGAUAAAACUGGUACCCGUACCACUUUUUU